This is a long non-coding RNA of Gallus gallus (chicken), 2136 nucleotides long. The record is from Ensembl. NCBI's taxonomy places the organism in Eukaryota, Metazoa, Chordata, Aves, Galliformes, Phasianidae.
AAGUGGGGGUCGCAUUAGGACUGGCUGAAAUUCCAGCUUAUGAAAUAUACUGAGGUUUCAGAGCCUGUUCCAACAUGAACAAAACCAAUAUCAUCUGUAUUACAUGCAUGAAGAAACCAAACCUAUUCCAGGAGACCAAUAGGAAUUUUUUCUGUAACCUACAAAUUAGUAGCUCACCUUGGGAAAAAAGAGAGCCAUACUCAGCUCCCCUCAGAGAAUCAGGCAUUUGAAUUUGAGCUUAGCUCCUUCCAGAUGCCUUCAUACUGGGAGAACUACACUGUGGCAUCUUCCCAGUCUGCAAUCCCAGAGAUCUCUGUGCUACAUUGCCUGUGCUUGUUUGCGUGCAGCUUGCUCAUGUCAUGUGCUGGACCACACUGGGGACAUAGAUACAUCCUAAUGGCACAUAUAAGGAGAGUUCUUUCCAGGAAGGAAGGACAACAGGAGGUUUGAGAAAGAAGCUCCACACAGCUCUGGUCCAAAGUCACAGAAGGAGAGGAACCAGAAAGAAGGGAAGAACCAGGAUCUCAAAACUAUUCAGUCACAGCAGCGCUUCCUGAGCCGAGUCUCACAUCAUGUGGAAUACCCUGAUUUGAUCUAACUGCAAGGAACAGUUUCCCACUUUUAUACAUGGAGGUAUUUUGGAAGAGGGUUUUGUUUUUGUUUUAAAUGCAACCCUGCUGUUCCAGCUCACAUUUUGUUUUCCCUAAGAGAAAAGAAAAACAACUGGAAAAUGGAUAAGAACUGCAUUGUUCCAAUCCCUACUUUCUGCCAUUUCAGUUAAUUACUGUAUUGCAGAAGUUGGUGACACUUUUCAAGAAACUGAAGUGAGCUGACCAUUGUGAAGGAAGAGAGGCUGACAGCAGAAGAGAGAGGCAAAGGGAUAAUGCCCCAGAGGCAGAAAAAAGCCAUGAGCAAAUUGAAUUACCACAACCCAUCCCAGUGAGUCCUCUGCCCUCUCUUGUCUACCUCACUUUGCUCAUUUAACCUAAAGAAAGACUUGUAGUACUGUAAAAGAGUAAAAUCUAUCCCUAUAACAGACAGUGUGACUUAGACGCAUGAGGACAGCCUUUGGGCCUUGUAUUCCAGCUAUACAGGCAGCACUUCCAUGUGGGAGCAAGGCGGAUGUGGUACCCACCCUAUCUGCAGGACAUAGGCUGCAGCCAUCUAUGCCCUUGUGGCCCUAUCUUGGCUUGAUGAAUUCCUCUCCACCUCAUCCUCUAUCUUGUCAGUGCUGAGCAUCAUGAUGUUAAGCCUAUUGGAAUACUUGUCUUAAAUCACAUGGAAAUAUAAAGCUUCUUCUCACAGGUGAAAUUCAGAGGCAAACACAAAGACCUGCCUGGUGCUUACAAGCUUCAUUACAACUUGUGCUGGCCAUGAUGGUCUCCCACUCCAAAGGAAGUGCCUAUAGAGCUGUGCAAAACUCAUCCCAUCCUGCUGAGAAUUUUCAGAUCUCAGAUUUUGCUUUGUCACCAACACAAAGAAAGCCGACCAGCUCUCCUCAGUGCCUGUGCCUGUUCAGGCUGCUCCCCUUAUUGAUGGGAGAAGGUGCUUCUGCUGAGGGACCUGUCUCACUGGAGGUAAAGAUGGAUGCAGAUCAAGCUGAUGUCAAGACUCCCAGAGCCCUAGUUUUCCUCUAGCUUCUGCUCCUGACAGCUGGGAGGGAAUGGGGAGCAGCCACCCCAGAACACUGAGUAAUUAUUUGCCUCUCUUGAACAAAUUGGAAGGAAGCUAGACAUUUUGUGAUGGAAAUUUUUCAGCUUCCCAUACAUUCCUCAGUAAAGUCAUGCCAUCCAUGUGGAAAGUUUUGAUUGUGACUCGUCAAUGAAGAAACAUGCCAUUGAGUAAUUGCUGUCCUGGCUUUAUUUGCAGUUGUCCUUCUUUUUGAACAUUAAUGAGAAAGCAACCUUAUGAGUCAGAAGCAGUUGGUGGGAGAGAACUUAACUGAGCUUACCUUUACUUCUUGUACUUGUAACUCAGAUAAGAUUCGAUGACCUCUUUCUCUUCUGUCUGCCUAGACCAUUCCCCAUCUCCAGCUGUGGACUAGCAGAUAGCUAGAAAUGGGUUGAUGCUCAUCUUAACCAAAACAGAGAUGUCAGGGGAAAAAAAAAAAAAAAAAAAAAAAAAGAAGAAGUAUUG